GGACGGGUAGCUCAGUUGGUAGAGCAUUUGUUCACGAAAGGCAAAGGUCCCGAGUUCGAGCCUCGGUUCGUCCU
This is a non-coding RNA of Schistocerca piceifrons (Central American locust), 74 nucleotides long. Lineage: Eukaryota; Metazoa; Arthropoda; Insecta; Orthoptera; Acrididae. The record is from the annotation of a RefSeq genome assembly.